This 429-nucleotide ribosomal RNA is filed under the name Pseudomonadota bacterium. Its description in RNAcentral is "Proteobacteria bacterium partial 16S ribosomal RNA". It matches the Rfam family "Bacterial small subunit ribosomal RNA", at positions 355 to 776 of the family's 1533-position model. The record is from RNAcentral. Lineage: Bacteria; Pseudomonadati; Pseudomonadota.
UGGGGAAUAUUGGACAAUGGGCGAAAGCCUGAUCCAGCCAUGCCGCGUGUGUGAAGAAGGUCUUCGGAUUGUAAAGCACUUUAAGUUGGGAGGAAGGGCAGUAAGCGAAUACCUUGCUGUUUUGACGUUACCGACAGAAUAAGCACCGGCUAACUCUGUGCCAGCAGCCGCGGUAAUACAGAGGGUGCAAGCGUUAAUCGGAAUUACUGGGCGUAAAGCGCGCGUAGGUGGUUCGUUAAGUUGAAUGUGAAAGCCCCGGGCUCAACCUGGGAACGGCAUCCAAAACUGGCGAGCUAGAGUAGGGCAGAGGGUGGUGGAAUUUCCUGUGUAGCGGUGAAAUGCAUAGAUAUAGGAAGGAACACCAGUGGCGAAGGCGACCACCUGGGCUCAUACUGACACUGAGGUGCGAAAGCGUGGGGAGCAAACAGG